This 602-nucleotide ribosomal RNA is filed under the name Flabellotrichalus sp. BM0103. Its description in RNAcentral is "partial 16S ribosomal RNA". It matches the Rfam family "Bacterial large subunit ribosomal RNA", at positions 1816 to 2713 of the family's 2925-position model. The record is from RNAcentral. Lineage: Eukaryota; Metazoa; Arthropoda; Insecta; Coleoptera; Lycidae. RNAcentral also lists the same sequence under 1 other name.
CAUGUCUUUUUGAGUUUAAUUUAAAGUCUGAUCUGCUCAAUGAAUAUUAAAUAGCCGCAGUAUUUUAACUGUGCGAAGGUAGCAUAAUAAUUAGUUUCUUAAUUAGAAACUGGAAUGAAUGAUUGGACAAGAAAAUAUCUGUCUCUUUUUUAAAUUUUUUGAAUUUUAUUUUUAAGUGAAAAAGCUUAAAUUUUUAUAAAAGACGAGAAGACCCUAUAGAGUUUUAUAUUAUUGAGUAAUUUAAAUUUAGAAAUAAAAUUUUAUUUAAUUUUAUUUGAUUGGGGUGAUUUAAAGAUAAAAAAAAUUCUUUAAUUUGUAAAUUGGUGAUUUCUAAACUAAAAAUCUAUAUUUUAUAAAAAUAAAAUAAAUUACCUUAGGGAUAACAGCGUAAUUUUUCUUUAAAGUUCACAUUAAAAGGAAAGUUUGCGACCUCGAUGUUGGAUUAAAAUUAAUUUUUGGUGCAAUAACUUAAAAAUUAGGUCUGUUCGACCUUUAAAAUUUUACAUGAUCUGAGUUUAAAUCGGCGUGAGCCAGGUUGGAUUCUAUCUUUAGAAUAUUAAUAUAUUUUAGUACGAAAGGACCAAAUAUUUAUUAAAUUAAUU